This 493-nucleotide ribosomal RNA is filed under the name uncultured bacterium. Its description in RNAcentral is "bacterial SSU rRNA". It matches the Rfam family "Bacterial small subunit ribosomal RNA", at positions 30 to 515 of the family's 1533-position model. The record is from RNAcentral.
AUUGAACGCUGGCGGCAGGCCUAACACAUGCAAGUCGAGCGGUAGAGAGGUGCUUGCAUCUCUUGAGAGCGGCGGACGGGUGAGUAAUGCCUAGGAAUCUGCCUAGUGGUGGGGGAUAACGUUCGGAAACGGACGCUAAUACCGCAUACGUCCUACGGGAGAAAGCGGGGGGAUCUUCGGACCUCGCGCCAUUAGAUGAGCCUAGGUCGGAUUAGCUAGUUGGUGAGGUAAUGGCUCACCAAGGCGACGAUCCGUAACUGGUCUGAGAGGAUGAUCAGUCACACUGGAACUGAGACACGGUCCAGACUCCUACGGGAGGCAGCAGUGGGGAAUAUUGGACAAUGGGCGAAAGCCUGAUCCAGCCAUGCCGCGUGUGUGAAGAAGGUCUUCGGAUUGUAAAGCACUUUAAGUUGGGAGGAAGGGUAGUAACCUAAUACGUUGCUACUUUGACGUUACCGACAGAAUAAGCACCGGCUAACUUCGUGCCAGCACG